UCAUGGGCCUCCCGCCUGCCAGGGUCUGCAGUGAGCCUGUGCACGUCUGCUGCGCCUCCCAACAGCUGAGGGGUGGUUUGAGGCCCUGCUCUGCUUUGUCGGGGCAAGGCUAUAGAACGGUCAGACAGUU
This 130-nucleotide small nucleolar RNA is filed under the name Mesocricetus auratus (golden hamster). RNAcentral's name for it is "Small nucleolar RNA SNORA9 (ENSMAUG00000005150.1)". Lineage: Eukaryota; Metazoa; Chordata; Mammalia; Rodentia; Cricetidae. The record is from RNAcentral.